RNAcentral lists this ribosomal RNA (661 nucleotides) under bacterium GD62SAN75%. RNAcentral describes it as "bacterial SSU rRNA". It matches the Rfam family "Bacterial small subunit ribosomal RNA", at positions 93 to 732 of the family's 1533-position model. The record is from RNAcentral.
CAGCGGCGGACGGGUGAGUAACACGUGGGUAACCUGCCUGGCAGACUGGGAUAACUCCGGGAAACCGGGGCUAAUACCGGAUAACUCAUUUCCUCGCAUGAGGAAAUGUUGAAAGGUGGCUUUUAGCUAUCACUUACAGAUGGACCCGCGGCGCAUUAGCUAGUUGGUGAGGUAACGGCUCACCAAGGCGACGAUGCGUAGCCGACCUGAGNGGGCGNNCANCCAUACUGGGACUGAGCCACGNCAAAAAACUUAUACGGGAGGCAGCAGUAGGGAAUCUUCCGCAAUGGACGAAAGUCUGACGGAGCAACGCCGCGUGAGUGAUGAAGGUUUUCGGAUCGUAAAACUCUGUUGUUAGGGAAGAACAAGUACCGUUCGAAUAGGGCGGUACCUUGACGGUACCUAACCAGAAAGCCACGGCUAACUACGUGCCAGCAGCCGCGGUAAUACGUAGGUGGCAAGCGUUGUCCGGAAUUAUUGGGCGUAAAGCGCGCGCANGGUGGUUCCUUNNGUCUGAUGUGAAAGCCCACGGCUCAACCGUGGAGGGUCAUUGGAAAACUGGGGGGACUUGAGUGCAGAAGAGGAAAGUGNAAUUCCCAAGUGUAGCGGGUGAAAUGCGUAGAUAUUUGGAGGAACACCAGUGGCGAAGGCGACUUUCUGG